RNAcentral lists this ribosomal RNA (425 nucleotides) under uncultured bacterium. RNAcentral describes it as "partial 16S ribosomal RNA". It matches the Rfam family "Bacterial small subunit ribosomal RNA", at positions 354 to 796 of the family's 1533-position model. The record is from RNAcentral.
GUGGGGAAUAUUGGACAAUGGGCGAAAGCCUGAUCCAGCAAUGCCGCGUGAGUGAUGAAGGCCCUAGGGUUGUAAAGCUCUUUUACCAGGGAUGAUAAUGACAGUACCUGGAGAAUAAGCUCCGGCUAACUCCGUGCCAGCAGCCGCGGUAAUACGGAGGGAGCUAGCGUUGUUCGGAAUUACUGGGCGUAAAGCGCGCGUAGGCGGUUUUUUAAGUCAGAGGUGAAAGCCCGGGGCUCAACCCCGGAAUUGCCUUUGAAACUGGAAAACUUGAAUCUUGGAGAGGUCAGUGGAAUUCCGAGUGUAGAGGUGAAAUUCGUAGAUAGUCGGAAGAACACCAGUGGCGAAGGCGACUGACUGGACAAGUAUUGACGCUGAGGUGCGAAAGCGUGGGGAGCAAACAGGAUUAGAAACCCGAGUAGUCC